GUACACUCCUACGGGAGGCAGCAGUGGGGAAUUUUGGACAAUGGGCGAAAGCCUGAUCCAGCAAUGCCGCGUGAGUGAAGAAGGCCUUCGGGUUGUAAAGCUCUUUUGUCAGGGAAGAAACGGUGAGAGCUAAUAUCUUUUGCUAAUGACGGUACCUGAAGAAUAAGCACCGGCUAACUACGUGCCAGCAGCCGCGGUAAUACGUAGGGUGCAAGCGUUAAUCGGAAUUACUGGGCGUAAAGCGUGCGCAGGCGGUUUUGUAAGUCUGAUGUGAAAUCCCCGGGCUCAACCUGGGAAUUGCAUUGGAGACUGCAAGGCUAGAAUCUGGCAGAGGGGGGUAGAAUUCCACGUGUAGCAGUGAAAUGCGUAGAUAUGUGGAGGAACACCGAUGGCGAAGGCAGCCCCCUGGGUCAAGAUUGACGCUCAUGCACGAAAGCGUGGGGAGCAAACAGGAUUAGAUACCCGAGUAGUCCCAUG
Molecule: ribosomal RNA, 477 nt
Filed under: uncultured organism
Description: partial 16S ribosomal RNA
Rfam family: Bacterial small subunit ribosomal RNA
Source: RNAcentral